CCUAGCCGUCCCGCCUGCCCCGAGUGUUGUGGAGAGUUUCUGAGAGAGAGCCCCUGAGAAGGCGAGCGGGCGCUUUCGCGGGCUCACACGGAGGGGCUGGGUAGGGAGAGGAGCCGCGCGGGCCGGGGCGGCGGAGAGGCCGGACCGAAGUCGUCAGUGGACACCGCCACCCCUCGGUCGGACCUCGAAGUGGACCUGCGCGCUCACCUGAAAUUCAUUGAAAUCUCUUGCUGGCCAAUCAUCAACUCUUUCCAAGCUGAGUGUUCUUUACUGUUAUACAGGACUAUCAUGAAGAUGCAUUGAAAGUUACACAGCACUGGAGGAGUGUGAUAUCCCUUUCAGUUGGUAAUCCUCCUGUCAUGAAAGUUGCUUGCCAGCUUUACUUUUGAAUGAACACAGUAAACAC
This is a long non-coding RNA of Budorcas taxicolor (takin), 406 nucleotides long. RefSeq lists it as uncharacterized. The transcript is spliced from 3 exons. The record is from RefSeq and is a predicted model, not a curated record. Lineage: Eukaryota; Metazoa; Chordata; Mammalia; Artiodactyla; Bovidae.